CUGUGAUUUCAAUACAUCUUGAUAAUAUGCAUUCAAGCCGCGAAUCGCGUAAAUGGUCGAAAUCUGGAUUGCGCAUGGCACAUAGCUCGAGGGCUUCGGGACGAGCGCUGUUUUCUCGGGUGAGUCAACGGCGCAACGCAAACGAUUUCGCCCGUGUCGAGACAUGUACUCGCGACUUCCGAGGUGCUACGACCGGUGAGCCCUGAGAGCUAAUUGACAGAAGUCCGUCCUGUUCAACCUAAAUCCCUGUGUACGUAAUGGCGCAAAGUUUGACCAUUUUGGCCGCCAAAGACGUCAACUCCGCGACCUACCAGACACGGUGUUCUCACAUGAGGACAGGUGCUCGUGCAUGCAAGAAAUGUUAAGUGCUCCAACAGCUGUGCAGCAGAUGUAAUCUGUCACACAUCACUGAUAUCCCACACGACUUGCACUAGCUGCUUGCCUACUCGGCCCCGUACACAGUGGCACAUGCCCUUUAUGGAGUAGUGCCCAAGAAUGGGUGCAUAUGCAGUGUCCCAAGUUACCUGCUCGGCAACACAACAUUGCCAAUGUGGGCGAAAGAGACAAAUAAAUCUUUA
Molecule: long non-coding RNA, 578 nt
Organism: Dermacentor andersoni
Lineage: Eukaryota; Metazoa; Arthropoda; Arachnida; Ixodida; Ixodidae
Source: RefSeq, a predicted model, not a curated record